Molecule: ribosomal RNA, 473 nt
Filed under: uncultured bacterium
Lineage: Bacteria
Description: bacterial SSU rRNA
Rfam family: Bacterial small subunit ribosomal RNA
Source: RNAcentral
ACUCCUACGGGAGGCAGGCAGUGGGAAUAUUGGGACAAUGGGCGCAAGCCUGAUCCAGCCAUGCCGCGUGUGUGAAGAAGGCCCUCGGGUUGUAAAGCACUUUCAGUGAGGAAGAAAGCUUGUCGGUUAAUACCCGGCAAGGACGACAUCACUCACAGAAGAAGCACCGGCUAACUCCGUGCCAGCAGCCGCGGUAAUACGGAGGGUGCGAGCGUUAAUCGGAAUUACUGGGCGUAAAGCGUGCGUAGGCGGCUUGGUAAGCCGGUUGUGAAAGCCCCGGGCUCAACCUGGGAACGGCAUCCGGAACUGUCAGGCUAGAGUGCAGGAGAGGAAGGUAGAAUUCCCGGUGUAGCGGUGAAAUGCGUAGAGAUCGGGAGGAAUACCAGUGGCGAAGGCGGCCUUCUGGACUGACACUGACGCUGAGGUACGAAAGCGUGGGUAGCAAACAGGAUUAGAUACCCUGGUAGGCUCUG